GACCUACAAAACUAGGGCUUUAAGCGCCAGAGUUCAUAAAGUAUUUAAGGACGACAAAAAAAAUCAUGUCUCUUCGGUAUAGUGGUUGUAGGUUCUAUGGUAUUUGUCUUGCUGGUGGAAGGUUCGAGCUCAGUUUUCUUUUGUUAAUUUGUUUUUUCCCUUUUUUUGGGGAUAACAAAUGAGAUGUGGUCGCAAUCUCAGUUGAGAUACGAUAGUUUUGACUAAAAAAAUACUAUCGGGCUAAAAAAUCUCUUAGUUAUUUCAUUUUUUACAUUUUAGUUUCUUUUAAAAAAACAACUUUGUUUCUUUUAUAUAUAAAAAUACUUUUGUUUUCAGCAUUUUGUGAAAAAAUAGUAUCUUUUGUUAUUCACUUAUUUGAUUGUUAUUUCCGCUGAAAUAUUGUUUCUUCCAAUCUUCCAUGUAAAAUUAUUUUUCUUCUCUUUAUUUUUUUGUAAAUUUUACUAUCUAUUUUAAGAUUUCAGAAAUCUGAAGAAACAUAUAUCAUAAAUUAACUUAUGCUUUUUCACAAAUUUCCAGAAAAUCAAUAAAAUUAUGCAAGUUAAAAUAAUAGGAUUCGAUUAAAUUAUAAAUUUCCUUAAAUUAGCAUUUCUCUGGUAGAAAACUAAUAAGAAAUUAUCCAUGUUUGAGUAUUGCUUAGAGCCAACUUCUCUCAUAUCUCUAUAUGUGAUAGAGCAAUCUCCAAUAAGCAUCUCAAAUCUUCUAUACCCUCAUUGCUUUAAUGAAAUAUGAAAACCCGAUUUUGCCCUAUUUUAUUUUCGAAAUUAUUAUUUUCUAAAAUAAAUAAUAAUCUCAAAUUUUCAAAUUUUCAAAAUUUCAAAAUUUUGAAUUUUUAAAAUUUCAAGUUUCGGAUACUACAUUGUAUCGUAUAGUUUUACUUAAUUGUACUUAGUUCUAGUAGGUAAUACUGAUGUUAGUUAUACUGAAUUAUACUUGGUUAUACUGAGUUAUACUGAGUACUACUGAGGUGUAGUUAUACCGAGUUCUACUAAGUUAUACUAGUUAUACUUGUAAUACUGCGUACUACUAGGGAGUUAGAUAUACCUAGUUAUACUAGUUACAUUGAGUUUUACUAGUUAUACUGAGUCAUAUUUAUAAUACUGCGUACUACUAAUGUGUUAGGUAUAUAUCAUAAACAAUGUUAUACUAGUUAUACUGAGUACUACUAAAAUCAGAUCUGAGAUCUGAGAUCUGAAGAUGAAAUAAAUAAAAAAACAUGAAAAAUGUCUUAAAAGAGAGAACAAGAACAAGAAGAAACCUAAAUCACAAAAAUGCCAGAAUAUUCUUUAACAACCCUAAAUUGAAAACAUACAUAACAAAAAGAAAUAUAAUCCAAUCACUUCUGGAGCCAUUGAUGAACUCAUACAAAAGUCGUAAUCUUACAAUAAAACUCUAUAUAAAAAAACACAGAUAUGGAGCACAUAGUACGAGAAGAAGAAGAAUCGCCAUUGGUGUUGUUUCCAUAACCUUCGACAGUUGUUUCAUCACUUACAGCAAAUCUGAUUUGAUAUUUUGUAGAGAAAAAAAGAAAGAAGAGAUAAAGAACGAGAGAAGUCGCAGAGAAAAGAGAGGAAAAGAAGAAAAGAAAGAAGAAAA
This is a long non-coding RNA of Brassica napus (rape), 1614 nucleotides long. RefSeq lists it as uncharacterized. The transcript has 2 exons. The record is from RefSeq and is a predicted model, not a curated record. Lineage: Eukaryota; Viridiplantae; Streptophyta; Magnoliopsida; Brassicales; Brassicaceae.